This 1310-nucleotide long non-coding RNA is filed under the name Carassius auratus (goldfish). RNAcentral describes it as "lncRNA (ENSCARG00000007409.1)". The record is from RNAcentral. Lineage: Eukaryota; Metazoa; Chordata; Actinopteri; Cypriniformes; Cyprinidae.
AUGCUGUCUCCCAUGUAUGCAGACAGCUCAGUCAUCAUGGAGAGAGCGCCGCCCUUGCGGAAAGGAGGGAGAGUGCAACCUCAGGGCCACAGACUGCGCUCUCAUCCUCCCACCAGCGGAAGCAGUGUUUGUGCCAACCCCACCUACUUUCAUACUGUGUAUGACAUGAAUGAUGAAGCAAGCCCAGUUGACUCGUUUGACUAUAGCAAAACCAAUGGAGGGGAAACCGUAGUGACGGAUGGGACGCUUUACUCUUUGAUGCCCAGUGACUCUCUGGUUCCUCCUAUCAGACGGAGAGGAGGCCUAGUUGACCACCGUGAUGUCAUCAAGGCACACCAAUCCCAUAAACUGCAGAGCACUCCACAGGCACAACGGAAACAAUGGGAGGCAGGUCAUGUUGGUGUGUUUGUGGAGAGUGUGUGUAUGGUAUGGACACACUGAAGGACACCGUGAUGACCCCUGCUUCACUUGGACCCUGUGUGUGCAGUUGUGUCUGAAAGCAGUAAGUGAAUGUGAACACCUUGAGCUCUAGUGAAAUAUAUUGCUUGAAAUCAGGAAUGGAAAGAGAACAAAUUCAGACCAAGAUGGAAACGUAAUAAGCCAAAAAGGACAGUGGUGGUGAUGGUGUGUUUGCCAAAGAUGUUUUUGUUGUAGUGACGUAAAAAGCCUGUUUAUAUUCUUGUUUUGUAAUUAGAGGGUACAUGCACCUCACAAAUUUGUCAGCCUCAGUCAAAUCCUCUGCUGACUUUAGCUUAUAAUUGGAGCCCGUCAAGAUGAUGUGUGUAUUUCUGUGCAUCUAGCAGCACCAAACAGAAUAGCAAAAAUCACGUUAUGUAACUAGAAAAAAAUAGCUGUUUAUUACUUUAUAUUUACUUUAUACUUUAUAUAAUAUUUCAUUUUAUAUUUGAGCUAUAGUGAAUACACUAUUUAUAUCUGUUUGUGUCAGGAUAUAAACAUAAUUUUAUAUUUAAAUAUAUACAGUAUAAAAAUGGAGUGGCUUAUUUGUAGUAUUUGUGCUAAUGUUAAGGUGGAAAACUAUUUAGGAACUAUUUAGGUAAAUUUGUCUCCUCCUUUCCCAGAAACAACUACAAAUACUUAUACGCUCUGUUUCAGGUCUCUGGUGUGUAGAAAAAUAUGGCGUGUGUUUUUAUGUGUUUGCGUCACGGUGGGACCAAGUGAACAGUGAAUGUAGAGUGGCAGUGGAAUCAAGUCACGAUUUCUGUUGCACUUUAGGGGUGUGGAGGCUUCCACUCUCAUCGCUCACCCACUCAAUCUGGCAGCCGUAGCAGCGGGGAGACGCGAGAUAACAG